UUAAAUUAAAACAAUAAAAUAAAUAUUAGACAUAAUUCAUAUCUAAUAAUAAUAAUAAUAAUAAUAAAAGCAGUUGCGUUCAGAUACAAUCAAAUACAUGUAUCUCGGCUGAAUGUAUUAUUGAAAUGCAUACAUUAUCGAACACGGUCAUAGCACAGAUUAUAUAAAAAUUAAUUUUAUAUAAUUUGUGGUCAUAGGUCAGGUCACUAGAGAGGUUGGAGAACACGCAAAUUCGGUGACGCGACACAUUAUCUGUGUCUGUGGCUCGUAAGUACGAGUAAAUUUAUUAUAACAAUGUCAUUUUAGUCGCGUGAUUCUUUUCAGACGCAUUUAGUCGGCUACAAUGUGUCCCGCGUGAAAGGUGCUCACUACACUAAGGUUUGGUCUAUUAUUCAAAUUUAUAGAUAAAUUUUCCUCUAUAAAAGUUAACUCUUUAUCGUUAAAAUUUUUGAUUUUUACUUUAUCAGUAUUUUGUUAUUUUCUAAAAGAUUUUAUCACUGAGCUAGCUAAAUUUCUUAAUAUCGUGAUGUCGAAGAUUCGUCAAAAUAUAUGUUACAAAAUUUUAGGAAACCAGCCAUUUCAGAUUAAUCUAGAGUCACUAGCUGGAAAUUUUCGAAAAACACUAUCAGUCUUAUCCAGAAGAACUCGAUCUAAUGAAAUUACAGCAUGCAUCAAGUAUUAUUUGUGACUUCAAAUAAAAAAAUAUUUUUUAACGAAAAAUAAGCGAAUCCAUUAAAAAUGAGACAGGACACUUAAAAAUAGGAGAUGGAAAAUAUCCAAAAUUCGAAAAAAAAAAAUUACUUUGUUGACAGGAUUAGUUACUGUUGCAAAAAAACUUGCAGACAACAUAUAUUCUAGUAUCAAAGACCUCAUAGAAAUAUCAAUAUACUGGUUAUUUGCGAAGACCAUUAUGACAUCAAAAUAUUAUACAGCAGAAGAAACGAACAAAAUAUUAUUGGACUCUUUCCAAGCAAAAAAUAUGAAAUACAUAUCAUUGAAUUCAGUACUGGAAGCAAAUGAUAAUUGAUUUGUGAAGAUGUACUUGGAUCGGCAAAAAAUCUUAAUAUAUUGUAUCGCAAUGUAUUGUCGGUAGGCCCGGAUUAACACUAUCGUAGGCCCUAGGCCCCUAGUCCUUCAGGGCCGUUUUCCAGUAUUUAAAUGGUUAAGAAACCUUCUCUUUAUGAGAGGAAGUGUUGAAUCUCAUGCAGUGUUUAGCUUUUAAAACAAUAAUAUUUACAACAUAAAAAUCAAAUCUAAAUUUUUAUAUCAUAUUUAUUAUA
Molecule: long non-coding RNA, 1280 nt
Organism: Sipha flava (yellow sugarcane aphid)
Lineage: Eukaryota; Metazoa; Arthropoda; Insecta; Hemiptera; Aphididae
Exons: 3
Source: RefSeq, a predicted model, not a curated record